RNAcentral lists this long non-coding RNA (280 nucleotides) under Brachypodium distachyon (stiff brome). Its description in RNAcentral is "long non-coding RNA (BDIS_LNC003096)". Lineage: Eukaryota; Viridiplantae; Streptophyta; Magnoliopsida; Poales; Poaceae. The record is from RNAcentral.
GUAUAUUUUCUGCAUAUCUUACGCAAAAAAAGGCAAAAAAAAAACAAUACCUGUGUGCUCCCAAAACUUGCAUUCGCACCCAAAUAUGCCCUCAGCUUCGUCCGCUAGCACACGAAACUCAUGCCUUGACCAUGAAAAUUCCUAGCUCUGGUUGUAGUGGUGCACAAGGAACUCAGUUGUGUUCUGCGGAGACGUUUUAAUUCUGAAACCGGUGCUAUGGAAUUGCCGUUCCCUGAACACACCAUACACGGCCCUAGUGUAAUGCUCUAGAAUUUGCGCC